GACGAACGCUGGCGGCGUGCUUAACACAUGCAAGUCGAACGAAGAGCGAUGGAAGCUUGCUUCUAUCAAUCUUAGUGGCGAACGGGUGAGUAACGCGUAAUCAACCUGCCCUUCAGAGGGGGACAACAGUUGGAAACGACUGCUAAUACCGCAUACGAUCCAACCUCGGCAUCGAGGAUGGAUGAAAGGUGGCCUCUAUUUAUAAGCUAUCACUGAAGGAGGGGAUUGCGUCUGAUUAGCUAGUUGGAGGGGUAACGGCCCACCAAGGCAAUGAUCAGUAGCCGGUCUGAGAGGAUGAACGGCCACAUUGGGACUGAGACACGGCCCAGACUCCUACGGGAGGCAGCAGUGGGGAAUCUUCCGCAAUGGACGAAAGUCUGACGGAGCAACGCCGCGUGAGUGAUGACGGCUUCGGGUUGUAAAGCUCUGUUAAUCGGGACGAAAGGUCUCUUGCGAAUAGAUAGAGGAAUUGACGGUACCGGAAUAGAAAGCCACGGCUA
RNAcentral lists this ribosomal RNA (500 nucleotides) under Veillonella sp. oral taxon 158. RNAcentral describes it as "bacterial SSU rRNA". It matches the Rfam family "Bacterial small subunit ribosomal RNA", at positions 28 to 499 of the family's 1533-position model. Lineage: Bacteria; Bacillati; Bacillota; Negativicutes; Veillonellales; Veillonellaceae. The record is from RNAcentral.